CAAUAAAUAAAGCAGUUCUUAAGUUUUGCUAUAUAUGUAUUGAAUCAGCUAACUUCAAAUGACAUGACAGUCAGGCUUGGUUCUACUGGGUGUGCAGAGCGUGCGUGCAUGAAGGCGGCUGAACAUAAAAGGCGGCCUCACAGCUCUGAAUUUUUGUCAUUGAAUGUCAGUAACAGUUCAAAGAAAAGCCGACAAGGCAAAUCCAAAACACAGCAUGUGAAGCUUAUGCACGAACAUGGCACAUUAAUCAAGAAUUUUUUUGGUGUUUAGUAUUUGUUUCUACCAUCUUCGUUAUUGUAAAAAAU
RNAcentral lists this long non-coding RNA (305 nucleotides) under Androctonus crassicauda. The record is from RNAcentral. Lineage: Eukaryota; Metazoa; Arthropoda; Arachnida; Scorpiones; Buthidae.